This 253-nucleotide ribosomal RNA is filed under the name uncultured bacterium. Its description in RNAcentral is "partial 16S ribosomal RNA". It matches the Rfam family "Bacterial small subunit ribosomal RNA", at positions 524 to 776 of the family's 1533-position model. The record is from RNAcentral.
UACGUAGGGGGCGAGCGUUGUCCGGAUUUAUUGGGCGUAAAGAGCGUGUAGGCGGUUCGGUAAGUCUGUCGUGAAAUCCUGAGGCUCAACCUCGGGCGUGCGAUGGAUACUGCCGGGCUAGAGGGUGGUAGAGGCGAGUGGAAUUCCCGGUGUAGCGGUGGAAUGCGCAGAUAUCAGGAGGAACACCGAUGGCGAAGGCAGGUCUCUGGGCCACUACUGACGCUGAGAAGCGAAAGCAUGGGGAGCGAACAGG